UUCUCCAGGCCGGCAAGAUCCGUCAAACAACUACGACCGGGAGCAUCUAGAUGGAGAUUUUGUGGCCGGAUCUCAUCGCAUCACCGCCCAGGUGCGGUGACCUUCCGUCGUCCGCUGCUGCAUCAACAGCGCGAUGGAUCGGAAGCAAGGCUGAUUAUCAGAAACGGCAACGACAUCACUAGACUGACGGCUGCACUGACAGCACUAGAACGCCUUUUUUCUUGCUGCCCCUGAUCAUCUAUGUCCCUUUCCUUCCUGCACAAAGCCUAACUAGGCAUGCUCUUGCUACAUGAAUGCAAUCCAACUACAAUUUCUCCUGCUCCUGGAAUCGGCAGUAGUACGGUGGUUGUUGCUGUUGCUAGGCUUCUUCCUUCUUUCACAGAGCCUGACCACAGAGCCGCCUGAUAUGUUCUUGAUGCUUCUUUCCUCAUGUUUGAGAGAGUUGCAGGUCUUGGUGGAUAAACAUAUCCGUGCUGGUGAUUUUAGUUCAUGUAUUUUUGCCCUGAUAUGUUCCUCCGUUUAGUGUAUCUUUUAAAUUGCUGCUAUUUCUACAUAUUUCUUGUUUUGAUUUGCAAGCAUGUUUCCUGUUCCAAGUUCAGACCCCCCAUGGGUAUUUGAAUUCAGAUACAAAUUUGUUACAUGAUAUUUAGUUUAUGUUAAUUUUAUAUUCAGAAUUUCGUAUCAUUGUUUGUGAUUUUCCUUUAGUAAUUUAAAUACCAGGUAUUGUAGACAGUCUCAUUUAGAUAUCUUGCAAUGUACAUGUAGUUUCAGGAGGAAAAUUGCUUUAUGGAGGCCUCAAGCAGGAGGCACAAGCCUGUGGCGCAUCUGAUAGCAGAGGCUACCAACAUCCUGUCCGUGGUCGAGGUGGCCAUGUACACACGCAUCGCCAUCGAGGAGGAUGCUGCUGCAUUGCUUGAGGAGAUCAUCCGGCGGGGAUGUGACCGCUGCGUGUUGCAGCGACAGCUGCACCGCGCAGUGAAGGACGACAACAUCCGGCUUAUCAGAGAAGAUUACUGACAUCUAGCUAAGGCCAAGGAUGAGGCCUGCCAUUGUACUCAGCAGUGGUCGAGGGGCACACCGGAAUUGGCCAUGCUGCACCGAGUUGAAUACCAUGACCUGGCCUUGACGGUGAACCAAGCUUCCGCCUUCCAGAACCGUUGAUUUCGCGUCAAGGAAAUCUCUUGAAGAACAAAAUGGUAUAUAAUGUGAGCACCCCAGCUGCAUUUGUCCAUCCUCAUAUCAGUUUGUCUGGUCUAAUGGAGGAUGAUGGUGUGUGUACUUCGUUGAGUGGUUGGUUGCAGAAUGGAAGGGUAGGAGUGGCGUCACGAUGAACAGCGAGGAGAUAUGACGAGUAUUAGAAGUGGGACUAGAGCCAUGAGAUUCUCUGAUGUCUGGAAGAGGCAAGCUGGAGCAUUCCAUUCCUCUAUGGUUAGGAAGCACACCUCGCUGUAGACAUCCCCUGACGGCCGGCCAAGAAACAAAGGGGGGUUUCAAAAGGGCUUCCUUUCCACCUUGGUUUCAGAGUUUGUGUUCAUGUUAUUAGCUAUAGAAAUGCAACUGUGUUGUGUAUGCAAAUGGGGUUGCGACAAAGCAGAGCUGAUUGCACUGCGCCCGCACAUAUCCCAAUCAGCUACAUGGGCCACAUCAUCUCCCGCGGCAGCCUUGGCGCUCCGGGGCGAUUCGAGCAAGGCCUGGAGCCAUCUCGGGCAUCUGUGUGGUGUUGGACGCCGCAAACUCAAUGGGAAACGGUGGCCUCAAGCGCGGGUCCGUCUUAAGUCCAUGUGCAAUCUGUCCCACCGGUGCCCGGCAGCGCCGAUGACCAUUUUCUCCUUCCACUGUCUUCUUUUCAUCGCCCCAGCCAGAUGUGCUUCCGGCAAGAAGGUAGUAGGUACGUGGCCCUGUUCUAACAGCUGUUCAGAAAUUCAUCUAAUUCUUGCUUGCAUUAUAUGUCUCAUCUUAGUUCUAACAGAUGUUCAGAGAUACUGAUUUUGAAAUUUUGCAGUCCAAUAGUAAUCCGUUAACCAUCAAACACAUGCAUACAUUUGUUAAUACUGACCGUAUACCUACUAAAGAUGCAUAGGCACUACGCGGCGUAAACCUUGUGCAGUAUAUAUAGAGAUGUAUUGGUACCUACACGAUUACUUGGUCCACAUUCGCUAAACAUAUACAGUGUUGUACAUUGACAUGUGAAAAGCAUGGUUAUAGGAUUUAUAACUACUAAAAAGGAGACUACAUGCCUAGCAUCAGCUAAGAAAUAACAACAGUAAUAGUGACCUCAUUUUUCAGUUUGAGGAAGGGGAGUUUUCCUGUGUGUAUAUGCCUACACAAUUGUAGAAGGGAAAAAGGAGGCAUUGGAGAAGGAGAAAUUAGAGGGUUGAUUGUCCCUGUCAUAGUCCUAGAAGAAAUGUAUCCCCUUGUGAGGAUUUGAUACCCUGCAAUAAGAAAUUUAGUGACGAGUUUCUAACAUGGCCAGAGGUAGUUCUCUUCUUAGUAAUAAUAUGCUUACAUCUAGAUUACUUGCCUAGAAGUCAGGAGUUCAUUUUUAUCAUCCUAAUUUUCUCAUUGCACCAACAUGUCGCGUCUGCUUUUAGGUACUACUCUAUGGACAGUCAUAGUCCCAUCAGAAACACAAAAUAAAUUAGCAUGAGUCCUCUUUGAGUGUCAUUCUGCCAGACAUUGUAUAAUGAUACUGCAUUACAAAAUUUUCUUCUAUAUUAUCUAUGCUCUUUGCUUCAAUGCACUCUCCUUCAGGUGCUAAAGAAUUUUCUAUCUCACUUCACGGUAAUCUUUUCAGUUAAACGUAAUGAUGAUAAAUUUUUGCAUGUCCAUGUAAAUAGUAAAUAAUUCCCUUUAUGAUCUGAGUGCUUAAUAUAAACUUCAAUGAGAACAGAUGUGUUGUGAUGAUCCAGUGAGAACAUGACCUGAAUUGGUGUCCUUGCUAUUUCGAGUCCUUGGUGGCGGCUCCCCUACUGCGUAGCUCCUGAGCGACAUAUAUACUUAUUCAAAAUGUUCACCAGUUUCCAAGUGUGUGUCGCUUUCUUGAAUCCAGGAUUUUAUUGUUUCAUUUAUGUUCAAUGGUGUAAUAAAAUUUUAGACAGAUCUGAACUUGAUAGCUAUUCUGCACGUCAAUGUACUAUCCAUGUACCACAUCCACGUCUGUCUACACUUUUUCUUGGUAGAUGAUUUCGCUGCAAUCACGUCCGAACGACGAACUAACAUUCAGGAGAACUAUGCAACACACUCUAGAAAAAAAUAUAUCUU
This is a long non-coding RNA of Lolium perenne, 3261 nucleotides long. RefSeq lists it as uncharacterized. The record is from RefSeq and is a predicted model, not a curated record. NCBI's taxonomy places the organism in Eukaryota, Viridiplantae, Streptophyta, Magnoliopsida, Poales, Poaceae.